Molecule: unclassified non-coding RNA, 336 nt
Filed under: soil metagenome
Description: partial contains 5.8S ribosomal RNA, internal transcribed spacer 2, and large subunit ribosomal RNA
Rfam family: 5.8S ribosomal RNA (bases 1-120)
Source: RNAcentral
GAUGAAGAACGCAGCGAAAUGCGAUAAGUAAUGUGAAUUGCAGAAUUCAGUGAAUCAUCGAAUCUUUGAACGCACAUUGCGCCCGCCAGUAUUCUGGCGGGCAUGCCUGUUCGAGCGUCAUUUCAACCAUCAAGCCCCCGGCUUGUGUUGGGGACCUGCGGCUGCCGCAGGCCCUGAAAAGCAGUGGCGGGCUCGCUGUCACACCGAGCGUAGUAGCAUACAUCUCGCUCUGGGCGUGCUGCGGGUUCCGGCCGUUAAACCACCUUCAUAACCCAAGGUUGACCUCGGAUCAGGUAGGAAGACCCGCUGAACUUAAGCAUAUCAAUAAGCGGGGGA